This 460-nucleotide ribosomal RNA is filed under the name uncultured bacterium. RNAcentral's name for it is "bacterial SSU rRNA". It matches the Rfam family "Bacterial small subunit ribosomal RNA", at positions 28 to 507 of the family's 1533-position model. The record is from RNAcentral.
GAUGAACGUUGGCGGUGUGCCUAAUACAUGCAAGUCGAACGGAGUUAAUAGCAAUAUUGACUUAGUGGCGAACGGGUGAGUAACGCGUUGGUGAUCUGCCUUGAAGUGUGGAAUAACGCUCCGAAAGGAGCGCUAAUACCGCAUGUGCUCUCAAUUUUUAGAAACUUGAGAGGAAAGGAUUUAUUCGCUUCGAGAGGAGCCUGCGUCCCAUCAGCUGGUUGGUAGGGUAAAGGCCUACCAAGGCAAUGACGGGUAGGGGACCUGAGAGGGUGGCCCCCCACAAUGGAACUGAAACACGGUCCAUACACCUACGGGUGGCAGCAGUAGGGAAUAUUAGAAAUGGACGAAAGUCUGAUCUAGCAACACCGCGUGUGCGAAGAAGGCCUUCGGGUCGUAAAGCACUUUUUGGAAGGAAUAGGAAGGAAUGUACUUCCAGAAUAAAGUCUCGGCUAACUACGUG